AUGCCUCGUCUCGGAGACCCCUCGCUCCGCCCUGCCGAGGGCCACGUCAUUGUCGUCUCCAUGCCGGCAAUGGACGCUCAAGCUGCCAGUCUUGCCAACCUCGCGGCCGUCGUGUGCCUGGGGGGCAACCGCCCGAAGGUUAGCGUCUCCGUCAUCCGAGAUGUUGUCGCUACGGCCGCGGCCGUCGACCGCUCCCUCCUGAAGGUGGUGCCUUUCUACCCAGAAGACUUCCUCGUCAGGUUCGACUACCAGCAUCACCGCGACCUGGCCACAGCUGCACCCGACCGUUUCUCUCACUACAUCUCUGACUUCGGCAACCUGGACAUCCACAUCGCCAAGUGGCGCCUCAACGUGCACGCCCAUGCCGUCCAAGCCGACUACCACGUCCACCUCUGCAUUGAGAAUGUGCCGCUCAAUGCUUGGAAUGAUGCUGUGGCUGCACAAGUGCUUGGGCCGGACACAUUCCUGCACUACUUCGACAUCGCCUCGGUGCAGUGCGAGGAUGCAGCGAAUCUCAACCUGUGGGCUUGGUCGGCUGACCCAAACAAAAUCCCAAAGGUGCAGAAGGUCACAUUCACCUGCAACCAGCUGCCGGCGAGCAGCACCCUAGUACCUGUCGUCGGGCGCAAAGGGCUACCGCGGCGCAUCCUAGUCCAGCUAGAUCUGAUCGAAGACUACACUCCCGAUGCCGACGACGGGGUGCCUUGGUGGUCGCGCUCCCUCCCUCCCUUUGACUGGCGCUAUGGCGUGGUCGAUGGCGAGGCCCGUGCUCGGGACCACCGUGAUGGGGACGCACGACGCGACCACGACGACCGUGACCGACAUGACGACGGCCGUGACAGAGACGAUGAGCAAGAAGGACGCGGCAGACGCGGCGACCGCAGCUCUUCCUCUUGGCGCGGCGACCGCAGCUCUUCUUCUAGGCACGAUGAUGCCGGGACGGCGGCUCACACGACGACCGGUGGUGCGAGGAGCGUGACUCCCGCAGCUGCUAUGAUGACGGCAGGCGAAGAGAUGCCCUAG
RNAcentral lists this ribosomal RNA (1023 nucleotides) under Triticum aestivum (bread wheat). RNAcentral describes it as "partial small subunit ribosomal RNA". The record is from RNAcentral. Lineage: Eukaryota; Viridiplantae; Streptophyta; Magnoliopsida; Poales; Poaceae.